Molecule: small nuclear RNA, 107 nt
Organism: Homo sapiens (human)
Lineage: Eukaryota; Metazoa; Chordata; Mammalia; Primates; Hominidae
Source: Ensembl
GUGCUCACUUUGGUAGCACAUAUAUUAAAAUUAGAAUGAUACAGAGAAAAUUAGCAUGGCCCCUGUGAAAAGAUGACAUGCAAAUUCAUGAAGCAUUCUAUAUUUUU